This 406-nucleotide ribosomal RNA is filed under the name uncultured bacterium. RNAcentral describes it as "partial 16S ribosomal RNA". It matches the Rfam family "Bacterial small subunit ribosomal RNA", at positions 30 to 526 of the family's 1533-position model. The record is from RNAcentral.
AUUGAACGCUGGCGGCAGGCCUAACACAUGCAAGUCGAACGAGUGGAGGACGGGUGAGUAAUGUCUGGGACACUGCCCGAUGGAGGGGGAUAACUACUGGAAACGGUAGCUAAUACCGCAUACAAUCGGAUGGGCCCAUAUGGGAUUAGCUAGUAGGUGGGGUAACGUCUCACCUAGGCGACGAACCCUAGCUGGUCAGAGAGGAUGACCAUCCACACGUGAACUGAGGCACGGUCGAGACUCCUACGGGAGGCAGAGGUGGGGAAUAUUGCACAAUGGGCGCAAGCCUGAUGCAGCCAUGCCGCGUGGAUGAAGAAGUCCUUCGGGUUGUAAAGUACUUUCAGCGAGGAGGCGUUACUCGCAGAAGAAGCACCGGCUAACUCCGUGCCAGCAGCCGCGGUAAUUC